UAUUUUCCUUUUUUUCCCUCAGCCGCGGUAAUACGGAAGGUCCGGGCGUUAUCCGGAUUUAUUGGGUUUAAAGGGAGCGUAGGCCGGAGAUUAAGCGUGUUGUGAAAUGUAGACGCUCAACGUCUGCACUGCAGCGCGAACUGGUUUCCUUGAGUACGCACAAAGUGGGCGGAAUUCGUGGUGUAGCGGUGAAAUGCUUAGAUAUCACGAAGAACUCCGAUUGCGAAGGCAGCUCACUGGAGCGCAACUGACGCUGAAGCUCGAAAGUGCGGGUAUCGAACAGG
RNAcentral lists this ribosomal RNA (284 nucleotides) under Segatella copri DSM 18205. RNAcentral describes it as "Prevotella copri DSM 18205 partial 16S ribosomal RNA". It matches the Rfam family "Bacterial small subunit ribosomal RNA", at positions 498 to 776 of the family's 1533-position model. The record is from RNAcentral. Lineage: Bacteria; Pseudomonadati; Bacteroidota; Bacteroidia; Bacteroidales; Prevotellaceae.